RNAcentral lists this unclassified non-coding RNA (260 nucleotides) under Amanita sp. RNAcentral's name for it is "partial contains 5.8S ribosomal RNA, internal transcribed spacer 2, and large subunit ribosomal RNA". The stretch from base 1 to 52 matches the Rfam family "5.8S ribosomal RNA", at positions 103 to 154 of the family's 154-position model. The record is from RNAcentral. RNAcentral also lists the same sequence under 3 other names. Lineage: Eukaryota; Fungi; Basidiomycota; Agaricomycetes; Agaricales; Amanitaceae.
AACGCAUCUUGCGCUCCUUGGCAUUCCGAGGAGCAUGCCUGUUUGAGUGUCAUUAAACUAUCAAAACACUUUUUUUGUUGAAGUGUUUUGGACUUUGGGAGUACUGUGCUGGUCUCUUUUGUUUUGGACCCAGCUCUCCUCAAAAGCAUUAACUUUGGAGAACCAUCAGUGUGAUAUAUCAUUUUGUUUAUACGCUGGCUUUCUCCUUUUAAAAAUGCCCCUUUGACCUCAAAUCAGGUAGGACUACCCGCUGAACUUAA